RNAcentral lists this ribosomal RNA (330 nucleotides) under uncultured Reyranella sp. RNAcentral describes it as "bacterial SSU rRNA". It matches the Rfam family "Bacterial small subunit ribosomal RNA", at positions 568 to 898 of the family's 1533-position model. The record is from RNAcentral. Lineage: Bacteria; Pseudomonadati; Pseudomonadota; Alphaproteobacteria; Hyphomicrobiales; Reyranellaceae.
AGUGUAGGCGGUUGUCAUAGUCAGGUGUGAAAGCCUUGAGCUCAACUCAAGAAAUGCACUUGAUACUGGGCGACUAGAGGACCGGAGAGGAUAGUGGAAUUCCCAGUGUAGUGGUGAAAUACGUAGAGAUUGGGAAGAACACCAGUGGCGAAGGCGGCUAUCUGGACGGUUACUGACGCUAAGACUCGAAAGCGUGGGGAGCAAACAGGAUUAGAUACCCUGGUAGUCCACGCCGUAAACGAUGGGUGCUAGACGUUGGCGAGCUUGCUCGUCAGUGUCGCAGCUAACGCGUUAAGCACCCCGCCUGGGGAGUACGGCCGCAAGGUUGAA